Eptesicus fuscus (big brown bat) is the source of this 73-nucleotide non-coding RNA. The record is from Rfam. NCBI's taxonomy places the organism in Eukaryota, Metazoa, Chordata, Mammalia, Chiroptera, Vespertilionidae.
CCAGCGUCCCUGCUAUGGAUCGUAGGAGCCGACCCCCUGGUCGUUGCCUGUGAUCCAUGCAGGUUCCUAGCUG